RNAcentral lists this ribosomal RNA (253 nucleotides) under uncultured bacterium. RNAcentral's name for it is "partial 16S ribosomal RNA". It matches the Rfam family "Bacterial small subunit ribosomal RNA", at positions 524 to 776 of the family's 1533-position model. The record is from RNAcentral.
UCCGGAGGGAGCUAGCGUUGUUCGGAAUUACUGGGCGUAAAGCGCGCGUAGGCGGCUUUGUAAGUUAGAGGUGAAAGCCCGGGGCUCAACCCCGGAACUGCCUUUAAAACUGCAUCGCUUGAAUCCGGGAGAGGUGAGUGGAAUUCCGAGUGUAGAGGUGAAAUUCGUAGAUAUUCGGAAGAACACCAGUGGCGAAGGCGGCUCACUGGACCGGCAUUGACGCUGAGGUGCGAAAGCGUGGGGAGCAAACAGG